UACGUAGGGGGCAAGCGUUAUCCGGAUUUACUGGGUGUAAAGGGGGCGCAGACGGCGAUGCAAGCCAGGAGUGAAAGCCCGGGGCCCAACCCCGGGACUGCUCUUGGAACUGCGUGGCUGGAGUGCAGGAGGGGCAGGCGGAAUUCCUGGUGUAGCGGUGAAAUGCGUAGAUAUCAGGAGGAACACCGGUGGCGAAGGCGGCCUGCUGGACUGCAACUGACGUUGAGGCCCGAAAGCGUGGAGAGCAAACAGG
This 253-nucleotide ribosomal RNA is filed under the name uncultured bacterium. RNAcentral describes it as "partial 16S ribosomal RNA". It matches the Rfam family "Bacterial small subunit ribosomal RNA", at positions 524 to 776 of the family's 1533-position model. The record is from RNAcentral.